CCUACGGGCGGCAGCAGUGAGGAAUAUUGGUCAAUGGCCGAGAGGCUGAACCAGCCAAGUCGCGUGAGGGAAGACGGCCCUACGGGUUGUAAACUUCUUUUAUAAAGGAAUAAAGUGAGGCACGUGUGCCUUUUUGUAUGUACUUUAUGAAUAAGGAUCGGCUAACUCCGUGCCAGCAGCCGCGGUAAUACGGAGGAUCCGAGCGUUAUCCGGAUUGAUUGGGUUUAAAGGGAGCGUAGAUGGGUUGUUAAGUCAGUUGUGAAAGUUUGCGGCUCAACCGUAAAAUUGCAAUUGAUACUGGCAGCCUUGAGUACAGUUGAGGUAGGCGGAAUUCGUGGUGUAGCGGUGAAAUGCUUAGAUAUCACGAAGAACUCCGAUUGCGAAGGCAGCUUACUAAACUGCCACUGACAUUGAUGCUCGAAAGUGUGGGUAUCAAACAGGAUUAGAUACCCCUGUAGUC
RNAcentral lists this ribosomal RNA (460 nucleotides) under uncultured bacterium. Its description in RNAcentral is "partial 16S ribosomal RNA". It matches the Rfam family "Bacterial small subunit ribosomal RNA", at positions 338 to 795 of the family's 1533-position model. The record is from RNAcentral.